RNAcentral lists this long non-coding RNA (492 nucleotides) under Equus asinus (donkey). Its description in RNAcentral is "lncRNA (ENSEASG00005028783.1)". The record is from RNAcentral. Lineage: Eukaryota; Metazoa; Chordata; Mammalia; Perissodactyla; Equidae.
CAAACGAUAGAGAAAGGCAGAGAAGUCUCUGUGCUCCUCAAGCAGCACCUCAGGAACCUUCUCACCCACGAUGACCCUACCAACUUCCAGGGUCAGGGCUUUCAAGAACGACUGGCUGAGGGCCGCAGGCUGGUGGAGCGCCUUGCCCGAAAGCUCAGCCCAGAAAAUCAUGCAGAGGAGGAGAACAAAGAAGAAAAAGCAUCAAUGGACCCCAGCCUGAGCACAGAGCUACAGGAAAAAGAGAGUGUCAAUGAAGCCCUGAAGGGGUCACUGGAUGAAGGCCCUGUGACUUCUUCCAGUAACCAGUACCCAUCUGAUUCCCAUGAGCCUCCCAGCACCAAUGUUUUCUUGUCUGAGGAGCACGAAGACUUCUCUGCUCUGGUUGCAGCUACUGAGAACUCACAUCAACAGGAGAAGAAAGCUCCAACAGGUCUCCCAGAAACUCAAAAAGAUCAGAAGGAUGAGGAAAGAGAUGAGCCAACAGCCCCCAGG